GUCUCUUGUAGCUCAGUGGUACGUUUGAGCAUCCGAUCGGUGUGCGGAAGGUCAUGGGUUCGACUCCUGUGUCGGGGACU
Molecule: non-coding RNA, 80 nt
Organism: Desmophyllum pertusum
Lineage: Eukaryota; Metazoa; Cnidaria; Anthozoa; Scleractinia; Caryophylliidae
Source: the annotation of a GenBank genome assembly